This 427-nucleotide ribosomal RNA is filed under the name uncultured bacterium. Its description in RNAcentral is "partial 16S ribosomal RNA". It matches the Rfam family "Bacterial small subunit ribosomal RNA", at positions 355 to 774 of the family's 1533-position model. The record is from RNAcentral.
UGGGGAAUAUUGGACAAUGGGCGAAAGCCUGAUCUAGCCAUGCCGCGUGUGUGAAGAAGGUCUUCGGAUUGUAAAGCACUUUAAGUUGGGAGGAAGGGCAUUAACCUAAUACGUUAGUGUUUUGACGUUACCGACAGAAUAAGCACCGGCUAACUCUGUGCCAGCAGCCGCGGUAAUACAGAGGGUGCAAGCGUUAAUCGGAAUUACUGGGCGUAAAGCGCGCGUAGGUGGUUUGUUAAGUUGGAUGUGAAAUCCCCGGGCUCAACCUGGGAACUGCAUUCAAAACUGACUGACUAGAGUAUGGUAGAGGGUGGUGGAAUUUCCUGUGUAGCGGUGAAAUGCGUAGAUAUAGGAAGGAACACCAGUGGCGAAGGCGACCACCUGGACUAAUACUGACACUGAGGUGCGAAAGCGUGGGGAGCAAACA